RNAcentral lists this ribosomal RNA (672 nucleotides) under uncultured fungus. Its description in RNAcentral is "eukaryotic LSU rRNA". It matches the Rfam family "Eukaryotic large subunit ribosomal RNA", at positions 24 to 664 of the family's 3401-position model. Lineage: Eukaryota; Fungi. The record is from RNAcentral.
CCCGCUGAACUUAAGCAUAUCAAUAAAGCGGAGGAAAAGAAACUAACAAGGAUUCCCCUAGUAACUGCGAGUGAAGCGGGAAAAGCUCAAAUUUAAAAUCUGGUGGUCUUUGGCCAUCCGAGUUGUAAUUUAGAGAAGCGUCUUCCGCGCUGGACCAUGCAUAAGUCUCCUGGAAUGGAGCGUCAUAGAGGGUGAGAAUCCCGUCUUUGGCAUGGACCCCCAGGGCUUCUGUGAUGCGCUCUNCAAGAGUCGAGUUGUUUGGGAAUGCAGCUCANAAUGGGUGGUGAACUCCAUCUAAAGCUAAAUAUUGGCGAGAGACCGAUAGCGAACAAGUACCGUGAGGGAAAGAUGAAAAGCACUUUGAAAAGAGAGUGAAACAGUACGUGAAAUUUGUUGAAAGGGAAACGCUUGAAGUCAGUCGCGUCGACCGAGACUCAGCCUCGCCUUGGCUUGGUGUACUUCUCGGCUGACGGGUCAGCAUCAAUUUCGAUCCUUGGAUAAUGGCAAGGGAAAGGUAGCACCCUUUACAGGUGUGUUAUAGUCCUUUGUCGGAUGCAAGGGUUGGGAUUGAGGAACUCAGCACGCACCUCAUCGGUGUCGGGGCCUUUUGGCCUACGUUACGUGCUUAGGAUGCUGGCAUAAUGGCUUUAAACGACCCGUCUUGAAACACGG